Molecule: transfer RNA, 74 nt
Filed under: bacterium
Lineage: Bacteria
Also listed under: 1 other name
Description: tRNA-Cys
Rfam family: tRNA
About the family: Transfer RNA (tRNA) molecules are approximately 80 nucleotides in length. Their secondary structure includes four short double-helical elements and three loops (D, anti-codon, and T loops).
Source: RNAcentral
GGCGUGAGGGCCGGGCGGCCAGGCAAAGGUCUGCAAAACCUUUUAGACGGGUUCAACUCCCGUUCACGCCUCCA